This 715-nucleotide ribosomal RNA is filed under the name Actinomycetes bacterium. RNAcentral describes it as "bacterial SSU rRNA". It matches the Rfam family "Bacterial small subunit ribosomal RNA", at positions 85 to 801 of the family's 1533-position model. The record is from RNAcentral. Lineage: Bacteria; Bacillati; Actinomycetota; Actinomycetes.
GGGGGGAUUAGUGGCGAACGGGUGAGUAACACGUGAGUAACCUGCCCUUGACUCUGGGAUAAGCCUGGGAAACCGGGUCUAAUACUGGAUACGACCUUCUGGCGCAUGCCAUGUUGGUGGAAAGCUUUUGUGGUUUUGGAUGGACUCGCGGCCUAUCAGCUUGUUGGUGGGGUAAUGGCCUACCAAGGCGACGACGGGUAGCCGGCCUGAGAGGGUGACCGGCCACACUGGGACUGAGACACGGCCCAGACUCCUACGGGAGGCAGCAGUGGGGAAUAUUGCACAAUGGGCGCAAGCCUGAUGCAGCGACGCCGCGUGAGGGAUGAAGGCCUUCGGGUUGUAAACCUCUUUCAGUAGGGAAGAAGCCGCUCCUUUGGGGGUGGUGACGGUACCUGCAGAAGAAGCGCCGGCUAACUACGUGCCAGCAGCCGCGGUAAUACGUAGGGCGCAAGCGUUAUCCGGAAUUAUUGGGCGUAAAGAGCUCGUAGGCGGUUUGUCGCGUCUGCCGUGAAAGUCCGGGGCUUAACUCCGGAUCUGCGGUGGGUACGGGCAGACUAGAGUGCAGUAGGGGAGACUGGAAUUCCUGGUGUAGCGGUGAAAUGCGCAGAUAUCAGGAGGAACACCGAUGGCGAAGGCAGGUCUCUGGGCUGUAACUGACGCUGAGGAGCGAAAGCAUGGGGAGCGAACAGGAUUAGAUACCCUGGUAGUCCAUGCC